This is a long non-coding RNA of Salvelinus namaycush (lake trout), 3821 nucleotides long. RefSeq lists it as uncharacterized. The record is from RefSeq and is a predicted model, not a curated record. The transcript has 6 exons. NCBI's taxonomy places the organism in Eukaryota, Metazoa, Chordata, Actinopteri, Salmoniformes, Salmonidae.
UUGUAGCUCAAUCUUGGGUGCAAUGAUCACGUACCCGCACUGACUGACUGUGUGGAGGCUCAUUGAUUUAACGUUACGUAAGCCUACAUGCUAUACUAGCAAAGAUAUUAAAUUAUAUAGCUGUUGGCUAUAUUAGCCACGACUUACCGUUCUUUGUGCAACUUCAAAUGUCGAACAAAGUUGGAAGUUGUUGCGCCUCCGUCUAAUUUUCUUCCCGCAUGUUUUGCAAGUUGAAAUCCGUUUUUUGUUGAUACAGUGUAGUCUUUAUAUCCGAUUUUUUUCUUUCUUAACACUUUUUUAAUAGCGUCAUUUUUAGUAUCUGGGCUUGGGGACGGUAUCAAGUCAGGUCGAGUCAAAAGGCUAAAAUCCAAGUUAAGUGACGAGUCAUUGGUGUUAAAGUUUGCACUUUUGACCCCACAGCUUGUGGGCGGGCUUUAGUGGGAGGUGUGGAGGAUGCUUCUCCGUUGGUCAGUCAUUUUUUGAGUGUCAGUUUAGCUACAACCAAAAGUGUUCAGCCUUUCUUUCCGACACAAAGGAAGUCAUAGACACUUAAAGUACAAAGAAGGACUGUGUGAUGAUGGCGUCUCAGAGUGGUAGGUGAAAUAUUUGCAGUGAGCCUUGCACAAGGUGGACCGUUUCCACGAUUUAUGCAGGAGUGGUGUUACCACUAUCUGUUGACCGGGACCCUGAAGGACCUAACAAAGGAUCAAAGAUGCCUUUGACCUGUCACCCUACGCUGAAGGACUCCUCAACUGUCACCCUACGCUGAAGGACUCCUCAACUGUCACCCUACGCUGAAGGACUCCUCAACUGUCACCCUACGCUGAAGGACUCCUCAACUGUCACCCUACGCUGAAGGACUCCUCAACUGUCACCCUACGCUGAAGGAUUCCUCAACUGUCACCCUACGCUGAAGGAUUCCUCAACUGUCACCCUACGCUGAAGGACUCUUCAACUGUCACCCUACGCUGAAGGACUCCUCAACUGUCACCCUACGCUGAAGGACUCCUCAACUGUCACCCUACGCUGAAGGACUCCUCAACUGUCACCCUACGCUGAAGGACUCCUCAACUGUCACCCUACGCUGAAGGACUCCUCAACUGUCACCCUACGCUGAAGGACUCCUCAACUGUCACCCUACGCUGAAGGACUCCUCAACUGUCACCCUACGCUGAAGGAAUCCUCAACUGUCACCCUACGCUGAAGGAAUCCUCAACUGUCACCCUACGCUGAAGGAAUCCUCAACUGUCACCCUACGCUGAAGGAAUCCUCAACUGUCACCCUACGCUGAAGGAAUCCUCAACUGUUACCCCACGCUGAAGGAAUCCUCAACUGUUACCCUACGCUGAAGGAAUCCUCAACUGUUACCCUACGCUGAAGGAAUCCUCAACUGUGGCUACACUGAAGGAAUCCUCAACUGUGGCUACACUGAAGGAAUCCUCAACUGUGGCUACACUGAAGGAAUCCUCAACUGUGGCUACACUGAAGGAAUCCUCAACUGUGGCUACACUGAAGGAAUCCUCAACUGUUACCCUACACUGAAGGAAUCCUCAACUGUUACCCUACACUGAAGGAAUCCUCAACUGUUACCCUACACUGAAGGAAUCCUCAACUGUGGCUACACUGAAGGAAUCCUCAACUGUGGCUACACAGGAAACUUGGAUCACAAGGACAGCAUAAUAAGAGCUAUUUUGCUACAUGCAAUCACAAAACGUACAGCGAUGCUUCAGCAGCUGAGUGAAGGCCUUGAAGUCUACAUCCUAAUUGAGGUCAUGCAGAAGAAACCGAAGGAAUGUCUCAAUCUCUUUGUGAUUGGGGAUGAUGACAUGGUUGAUGCACACUACAAAAUCUCAAACCUGGCCCCAGAGAUGAGUGAAAGUGGUUCUCCAAAACAAAAGGAGACAGAAAUAUUUCUUUCAAGAUUUCCUCCAAGAACUUGAUGAUGGGAAAUUGAGCCUGUCUGUGGCUGAAGACAAUGGAGAGAAAGAAGACAGUGGAGAGAAAGAAGACAAUAGAGAACCACUUUCUGUUCCCAGUGUAAUGCAGUGGCUGACAGGGCAGCCACACACACCUGCUUGUCUCAGAGAGAGAAAAGUUAAGGAUAGUGGUCAUUUUGGACCACUCAUGUCUACAACGCAUGCCGAACCACACUGUUUGUUACCUUGUUGUUAGUACAUACACCAAAACGAUAACAUUUCCCACAGCCCUCUGAGAGAUUACGAUGCAUUUAAAUCAAACACUGAAACAACAAUCAAAUACGGUGCAAGGUUUGAUAGAGUGUAGCUGAAAGACUACUCAAUUUAGCUGACUAAUAAUCCACAUACAGUACAUUAUGUUCCUGUGUAAAGAAGUCAAAUCUUUCUUGCUUUAUUUUGGGGUUAAUGCUUAAAUAUACACCCUUGACAACUGUGAUUUAGAAAAUGUUUUUUAUUAACCUCUUACUACUCAACAUUCAUAGAAGGAUGGUAGACUGCAGCGAUAGCUCAGAGGUCUAAACACUGGAGGGAUGAAUGGACUAUUGGAAAUAGUCAGAGAGACUGAUAUAGUAUUUGGGCUUUUGUAAAGUUUUUGCAUUAUGUUUUAUACACUGGUCCUACGCUAUACCUUCAAACACCAAAACCUUAGGUGGCUCCAUUGCUAGUAAAGAGUGUUACACUGUAUCAACAAAAUGUGUGUUUUGUAACAUCCUAGUCCAUGGGAAUUAUGUAAUUGAAAUGACAUACAAUUCACUAAUUUUCUGGUCCUUGCCAACAUACAGUGUUCCAGAUGUACUGCAACUACUUUAGUAUAUCAUCGGUUCUCUCCCCUUUAAUAUGUGAUUCUUUCUGUUUUUAUUCUUUAUUUUGUUUAACAAGUGCCUGAAGCUGUUCUAUAUACAGUUGACCUAUGGUGGCCAAAGACUCCAUUUUAGUAUAGUGUACACCAAGUGGUGUAGAAUACAAGUAUAUAAACUUUAUCCAAAUGCAAUGUAAUAGACCAAUUUAUCUCCGGGCUUGACGUCUAUCUCAUUGAGAGAUUCUUUAAGCUAGCAUUAUACACAAGUAAAGGUGCUAGGUCUGUCUUUAUGUUAUUCAUUUGUAGUACUGUAUCCUGUUUAUUCAGUGGUCUCCAACUUGACCUCUGGAGCUCAGAAAUGAUGAAGAUAACACUGAGACAGUGCCACUCUGUUAGACAGGAAUUUGGUGCUGAAGUACAAUAAUACUUUACAAGUCCUUUUGAUUACCCAAGGUUCAUUUGUAUGCAGCGAGGGAUGGACGGUUUUAUUAAAAUGUACAUUUAAGGGAUUUUUCAGUUGCUAAUUUUUAUAUUUUGACAUGACAAAGUUGUGUAUUUGUGGAUCUACUGUAUUGGUGUUUACAUAAUUGUACUAACCACCGUUCACUGAGCUCUGUGUCACUUUAGCAUUGUUAUGUCAUUGCCUGCUUUUGAUUUUCAUGUUAAGACACUGGAUGUCAUGUACCACUAACUGUAAAGGUGACAGCUCGAUAAAUUAUAUGGGGAGAGAAAGUCACCUCAGGAGCCUUUAUGACACCUAUGGAUUCUUGGACUCUUCUGUAAUUGGAUAGUGUUUUAUUGAUCACUGCAUUAUUAGAACGUACUAUAGAUUCACCUCUGAACUUGGAACCCGUUUGCUGUAUGUCCAAUGGUAGUGCCGUGAACAUGUUACAAUUAUUCACGUGAUUAUUUUGACACUGUUAUACUACAUAAUGUUGAUUGUUACAUGGUAUUUAUCAGUUUUAUAUGUUCAAAUGUUGGGUUUGUUUUUAGAGAGAAGUGUCAAUUAACAAAGAUGCUUUGUGGAAAAUAAAUACCAUUGGUUU